Long non-coding RNA from Leptopilina heterotoma, 2144 nucleotides. RefSeq lists it as uncharacterized. The record is from RefSeq and is a predicted model, not a curated record. NCBI's taxonomy places the organism in Eukaryota, Metazoa, Arthropoda, Insecta, Hymenoptera, Figitidae. The transcript is spliced from 3 exons.
GUUAUAAUUUGGUAGCGUGGUUAUUUAUUUUAAAAGGAAGGGUUUGUUGUCAGAAGUUGUUUUUACGUCGCAGCUAGAAGAAGAGGAACUCCCCGGUGAGCUUUUGUGGAGAUUUGUUGUGGUGAAGAUAGUUUUUCGAAUAGCGGGUUGUGAUGUAAAUUUGUGAUGUAUUAUUUUCUAUGAAAAAUUCGAUAUUGCAAAUUAUACCCUUAUAAAUGGCGCCCAACGUGGGGCAGUUUUUUCUUCUUUGACCGGACCAUGAAUGACCUUUUUGAUAUAAGUUGACCGUGCUAAGACCAAGCCCAAGCCCAGUUAGACCAAAAAAUGACCCUUAGACAGCAUGAUCGACCGUUGUAGUGAUUGUAGUGUGUUAAAGAGAAGAUAGUUUGGCAGCUGACUGCCGUUUUCCACCGCGCGAUAAGUUUUUAGUGCAAUUAGUUUUUACAAAAGAAAUAAUAUUUUUGAGAAAUUGAAUUCACGAGAUUUGUACUGUUUUUAAAAUGACCGUGUGUCAAGCUACCAGAUAGACAGAUGGCGUGUCAAGUGAGAUUAGUUGGUAUGUGAGAAUUGUGGGGGUGAGUAAUAAUUAGUCUGAUAAUUAUUAUGAGACUCUUGAUGAUAUAGUUGUUGAAGUGGAUUAAAAUUAUUUUCCCUGAUUUUUGUGUUCCGGGAGAAUUAAUUAAUUUGAUAAUUUGUGUAGUUUUGUAAAAGAUAAGUUCAAGUUUUAUGAGAGGAUUGUUCUAGGCCUGAUUUUUGAAGAGAAGACAGUUUUUGAAAAGCGAAUGUGUUUAGGGAUUUUUAGUUAGUGAAGUCUGUUCUUUGAUUGUGGUAGCAAUUCUUUAAAUGAGAAUUUGUCCUUCCUGAUUUGAGACCGAUCUAUUGUUCCCUUGGAGCAAAGACCUACCCGCUCUUUCGAUCAGCGACUGUAGUACAGCAUUUGACCACCCCUCCCCCCUAUCACCCCCAGGCAAAUACUUGUAUUUUACGUUUUUUUUAGUUACGUUAAAUUGAGCUUCAGGAAAUUUGCUAAAAACUGAUGCGAACCUUUUGUUAAUAUAAAAAAAGAGAAAAAAAAGAUGGAAACAGAACUGUAAUUCUAGUAAGAGAAAGAAAAAACAUUGUUCUUUUUUUUUAACUUAUGCUUGUACAGUAGAACGUACGAAUGCCUUCCCCCUGAAGUUGCUGCAGAAAAAUGAUAAUUUAUUGUCAAACUUGAGUUUCUAUAUCCCAUGCCUAAAAAAUUGACGUGUGUUUUGAUGUCAUCGUUGGUCAUCGUUGUAAACAUUAAACAGUUUAAUGUUUACCAUUACAUUAAAGUUAAAAAUACAUUAAAAUUUUUAAAAAAUGGUAAUGAAUGGUGAAAAAAAGUUAGUGAUUAAAGUGAGGUGACAAAUAUUUUUAUAUUGCAUCAGUAUAAAAGUUUCAUGAAGCGGCCGAAUUAAUUGAUCAUAGGAAAAUUGUAUAAAGAAAACAAUGUAGGGACAAUUUUCAUCAUUGCAUCAACAAUUUUCCAAAAAUGAAGCACUACCUAUUCGUGGCACGCGAGGUUGUCAAAUGCGAAAAAUGCGUUGUCCUUGGUUUUCAAUCCUGGGCGAAGCACGUACCCUAGAACAAUUGGAACGAAAUGAUGGCGAAUUGUCUCUUCUGCAAAAGGAGAAUGCCAUCAUUGAUGGGAGAAACAUUUCCCCGCACCAAAACGGAACCGAAUGUGUUAUAUAACUGGUGAUUUGCACCAGACUCAGAGUGUAGCUGAAAUUGAGUUGAUCUGGCGGUGGUUCGAGCCCUUCAUUGAAGAACGGAAUUUCAGAGAAGAAUCGAAAUGGAAUUGGAAUUUAAAUUAACAUGCCGCAAAAGUGAAAAGAACAAUAAAUUCGCCAUUAGUGACUCUGACGUAGGACUCUCAAGACGAGUCACUUUUGAAAUUUGCAAGAUUUUUUAAUAAAAAAUAAAUUUUUGGGACCAAGAAAAUGAUUUUUAAAUGUCAUUUUUAUCAAUUUUUCGCAUAUAAAUCUAAGUGCCCCUGGAGACGAAAGUUCAAAUGAGUUCUUUGGCUUGCUGAUUAUUUGCCUGCUCGAUUUUAUCUCUCAAGACGAAUCACUUUUGAUAUUUGCAAGAGUUUUUAAUGAAAAAUAAAUUUGUGGGAC